UUUUUAGGAAGUUUAUUAUAAUAACUUAGGCUAUGGAACCUACAUAGCUUAUUGUUUUGAUUAAACUGAAUGUAUUUAGUUCUUAAACUGAAUUUUCAUCUUGUUUAAUUUGUUGUUUGGUGUUUGUAUAUGCUCCUGAAUGUGAUAAUUUCUGUUCAUAAUGUCCCUUCCUAUUUUUGUUCAGGUUAGUGCAUAUAUUUUAGUAGAGAUGACGAGAUGAUCUGGCUGUUGGAUUGUUUGGUGGUUCAUCGAUCUAUCUAUCUAUUAUGGUUUUCAUACUGAAGUUGAUCAGUUUGUGAAUCUCUCUGUUGAUUAGUUGCCUAUUUGACUGGCCUACCAAUUCUGGGAUAUUAGAGAUUGAAUUACUGUCAAGAGUACAACAAGGUUGUCACCUAAUCAGCAGACCUCUCCACCCUUCAGGUAUGCCAGCGUUUUGUGAUGAGAUGCGAGGUUGGAUGGAGCUUUGAGGGCAUCCAGUUUGGUGGCGACACACCACAUCUAUUUAUUCUUCCCCAAUUACACUGCUGUUUUGAUUCUCAUGUGUGGAGAUGGAUGUGAAUUACCUAGAGGAAGUGGUUACAAUAUCCGUCUGAAAGAUGCAGCAGACACAAUAUAAGUUACUGGUUUGUAGUUAUGCAAAUAAACUAGACCGAUCUUCUCGACUACAGGAGCCGCCCCCGGAGGAGGGUGAUGGCAUGCCAGUGAAGCUAGCUGGGCAUUUAAAGUUCAUGCUUACAUUGGCAAACCAUAUUCAGCAUUAUUGGGUCCAACGCUGGUAGUAAAGAUGGUGUAGCGGCGAAGAAACCAAAGCGGUAUAAAGUAUAAUAUAUUUGUUCUCUUCAUAGAAAGCACUUCUCAUCCAUUCCAG
Non-coding RNA from Lolium perenne, 868 nucleotides. The record is from RefSeq and is a predicted model, not a curated record. Lineage: Eukaryota; Viridiplantae; Streptophyta; Magnoliopsida; Poales; Poaceae.